UUACGGCCAAAUCACGUUGAAACACCAGUACACGUACGACCACUAAAGUUAAGCAAUAUUGUGCCAGGUCAGUACCUAGAUGGGUGGCCGCUUGGGAAGACCAGGUGUUGUAAG
This is a non-coding RNA of Acanthosepion pharaonis, 114 nucleotides long. NCBI's taxonomy places the organism in Eukaryota, Metazoa, Mollusca, Cephalopoda, Sepiida, Sepiidae. The record is from the annotation of a GenBank genome assembly.